ACGUUGGGCCCACCCAGGCCAAAAUGUAACAAGCGAAGAGGCAUCUGGAAGCCACAGUCAGGAAUUGCAGUCCUACCUACCUUUACUCUUUAUUGUGUCUAGGCGUUGCGGCCGCUAGCCCCGAAGAGCCCGAGGCCUUCUGCCAACGGGCCGCCAGUCCCCGCCUCCCGAGAGGGGUGGGAACACCGUGAGGCUGGACCCUGCCUCGGCCUUUCUCCCGUCCCAGCUCCGGCCAUGCCUCGUUCGCGGACUACACUCCGGCCGCGUCUCCCUGCUCCAGGCCAUACCAUGACAGAGCAAUUCCUGUGGACCAAAGGCGGACUCGGUUCACUCACCUACUUGGUAGAGCCGGCCCUCGGGUGAAAAAAUGGUAAUGUGACGGUCAAACCCAGCGCUGGAACCACGGGACAUGUUGGCGAACCCACUACUUCAAGCACUGUCUCUGAGCCCCGUAGCUCCCACACCAGGCGUACAAAUCCCCCCGGAAGUUUCAACGACUGCUUCCGGGGCACCGGCGAGCUGCAUCCGCUCCUGCGCGCCGAACUCCGGGCUCCAGCGUCAGGCGGGCGCGGAGAGCUCUCCGAGGCCCCGCCCCUCGUUGGGGGUGGGGAGGGCCGGGAGGCCUUCGGUGUGCGCUUGCGCCGGCCCCUGGGCUGAGCGCUGUGCAGAAGCCCCGUGGAACUGGCGUUGAGGCAGUUUAGAGCUUUCAUCUGGCGAGUGAAUUGCCCGAGGCGAGGACUAAGACCCUUUCUGGGCGCCCAGACUAGUGAUCGGCCUACCGGUGGGACUUAAAUGGAUGGCGUAUUUAAGUCUGUCGUUAGUUUUGGGACGUGUAAAUCCAGCUUGGGUCUAGAUUGCUGGCGUCGUUCCUAAUCUGCUCUGUACUCACCCACUUUUCCUUCCUACCACAGGGGAAAAGGAGUUGCAGCGACUGCGGCAGUAACCGCUCAUUUUAGGCAGACUCAAGCUUCAGCUUUCCCAGGCACCAGCACUCUGGGUCAGCCAUACUGCAGGAGGAUCUUCCAAGUCCUUCUACUAAGGCAUCAUUCUUGGGGUUCUGGGGUCAGAGGACACCCAAGGAACUCAGAGCACAGGUCAGAACUGCUGGUUACAUUCUACCUAGGAGUGAGGAGACCAAAGAAUUAGAACCUCAGCCUGGGAAAAGAACUUGAAAGUCCAAAAUGGGAAAAAGACAAAUACUGGAUGAUUGACAAAAAGAAACAAAUGGACACUGUGACAAGUGAUGAAUAAAAUAAUGUAUGGCUUUUAUCAUCAGCGGCAUUUUAACAGCCUUCAAAGUAUGAAGUAGUUGCACUGGGGCUAUGAUACUUAUUCUUGGCUGAUAGUUGUCUAUUGAUGAAUCUGUAAAGGGAAUUCACCAACAGCAUUUCCUCACCCCUCUCCCAUCUGAUGACUUCAAGACUUCAGAGAUAUGAAAAACACUCCUUAUUCACCAGAAAGAUUGGAGAACCAAACAAAAGUAACACAACCAUGUGACAUGAGUAUCACCUUUGACAAAUGUUAAAGUGGAAGAAAAAAAUUUAAAAGAAGAAAGGGUUAUUUUGGUCCAUUUGAAGAGGAAGUGCUGUUUCCAUUUAUCUUCUAAGCUUAAACCCAGGAAGAUUGCCUGUUAUCUCUUUCCUAAACCGAUGAGAAAAUUUUCAAGAGGUUUUCCUGCCAUUCAUAUCAUAGGAUGUGUAGAUCUUUUCUGGAGAGGGAGAUCUACGAUAACUGGAAAACUUCAAUUUAGAUUAAUUCUGUAACUUUAUAUACACAAGCAAUUUCUAGGCAUUUAUGAGUUACACAAAACAGAGUGAAAAAAUGCUCUACUGACUAAAUAAUGUUGCAUUUGCAAGCUCUCCCCCGCCCCACAUUAAAGAAAUGAUGUUUGCCAUAAUUACUUAACAAAUACCAAAGGCAAUUCUGAUACUCCAACCCACCUGAGUAUCUCUUUAAAUCUUAAGAGUGCUUACUCUAUAGGAGGUAUAUUAGGGAUAUAUACUUCCUGACCAGAUUUUUUUAAAACUGCAAUAAAAUUAUAAAUUUUUAAAACAAGGUCUAGUACUGCUACGGAUUACUGUGAAUCCAAAGUGAAGAAUCAGCUUUCCAUUUUCCAAAGAGGUCAAUAAGCAUGAGUCCUGCUACUGGGCCUUCUGACCAACCUGAGAUAGCACUAGUGAUAUGGAGUUAUUGAGGCCUGUUCUCUCAAGCUCAUAUAACUGUGUUUCUCACUCCUUUACUGCUGACUCCUUUACACAAUCCAUUCAUUUAUUCCUUUUUUUUUUCAUUCAUUUAUUCCUAACAAGGAUGCUGUAAAGAGCACUCACAAUGCCCACAUGCCCUGUACUGAAAGGGCCUACAACAGAACUCAUUUUGUUUUUUAUUUUAUUUUAUUUUGUUUUAGUUGGUUUAAAUAUUAGGAAUAAUGGUACUUUCUCUAAACAGUUUGUUUCCAUUUGAUCUGAUGAACUAUGUGAAUCCUCAAAAUCAGUGAAUCUUACAGUGGAAAUAACUUCCUUAGAAAGUGUACCAGAAUUAUGUGUCUUCAAACUUCUCCACUUACUGAUAUAUCUUAACUCUUUCUCAAGCCCAUCCUGGCCCCUUUGAGAAUCUCUUUAGGUAAAGAGGGUGUUUAUAAAUGUAGUGUGGAGUGCUUAUGAAUGAUGUGCAGGAAGAUAAAAGGAUGAAUCCCUGCUCUUUGGCACUCACGUUUUCAUCUUCAAGUUUGUGGAUAGAAUUUACAGCUAAAUUACUAGAGCACUUCAUUGGUAUGAAUUUUGUGGGCCAACCUUAAACUUCUAAUUUUUCCUAAACUUAUUUUCCCUUUGUGCUCUUAUCUUACCUUUAUUUUAACUUAUUUUAAGUUUAUUUUUUGCAGUGCAUACAUCAUUAUAAUCAUCUUUUAUCUCAUAGAACAAAGCAAAACAGAAAUAAUCUAAAAAUAAAGAGUACCUACUCUGGAGUGGGGAGGAUAAACCUGAAGGAACUACAUACUCUUCCUAAUACUAUUUUGAAAAAAAAAAAUGUCUAAGUGAAA
Long non-coding RNA from Canis lupus familiaris (dog), 3037 nucleotides. RefSeq lists it as uncharacterized. Lineage: Eukaryota; Metazoa; Chordata; Mammalia; Carnivora; Canidae. The record is from RefSeq and is a predicted model, not a curated record. The transcript is spliced from 7 exons.